RNAcentral lists this ribosomal RNA (465 nucleotides) under uncultured bacterium. RNAcentral describes it as "partial 16S ribosomal RNA". It matches the Rfam family "Bacterial small subunit ribosomal RNA", at positions 339 to 795 of the family's 1533-position model. The record is from RNAcentral.
CUACGGGGGGCAGCAGUGGGGAAUAUUGGACAAUGGGGGAAACCCUGAUCCAGCAAUGCCGCGUGUGCGAAGAAGGCCUGCGGGUUGUAAAGCACUUUCGGUUGGGAGGACUGCUUCUAGCACUAAUAUUGUUGGAAGUUGACGUUACCUACAGAAGAAGCACCGGCUAACUCAGUGCCAGCAGCCGCGGUAAUACUGAGGGUGCAAGCGUUAAUCGGAAUUACUGGGCGUAAAGCGCGCGUAGGCGGCUAGAUCAGUCGGGUGUGAAAGCCCCGGGCUUAACCUGGGAACCGCAUCCGAUACUGUCUAGCUUGAGUACAGGAGAGGAGAGUGGAAUUCCACAUGUAGCGGUGAAAUGCGUAGAUAUGUGGAGGAACACCAAUGGCGAAGGCAGCUCUCUGGCCUGAUACUGACGCUGAGGUGCGAAAGCGUGGGGAGCAAACAGGAUUAGAUACCCUUGUAGUC